This is a long non-coding RNA of Ixodes scapularis (black-legged tick), 601 nucleotides long. RefSeq lists it as uncharacterized. The record is from RefSeq and is a predicted model, not a curated record. The transcript has 4 exons. Lineage: Eukaryota; Metazoa; Arthropoda; Arachnida; Ixodida; Ixodidae.
GAUCGCCGAGUGACGCGGAAACCCAGUGACAGCAAGUGGGUGCUAGUACCGAAAAUUUCCUCCGACGAGAUGACGUGACUGCCCGGGAGGGCUGGAGGAAGCUUGUAUGAAAUAGCUCGGCAAAGUUGCCGGAUCUGGUUAUGCCUCCUGUACGAGACGGAUCACAAAGCGGUUCCUGACUGACCAGUUGGGGCAAAAAGUUUUGUGGGAAGGACAAAGGAAAUUUGACAUUCAGGAAUCUUCACCUUGCUGAGUGCAUCAUAAAUGCAGUGCGGAGCUGCCAUAAAUGUGAAGACUUCAGGGUAGAAACCAUAGUCACGGAUUAACUUUGCCACGCACCCGCCUCACAUCGGUCAUCUCAAAAGGAACAUUCUGCACCACAGGAGAGAGCGAUGUGAACUGCCUUAAGUGGGCCUUGAAUGCACUGAGCUUUUCAUUAUGUUUAUCAGAAAUUUUUUUUAAGCAAAGUAUCCUGCAUUGUUCAGUAAGUAUACUUUAUUUUGAAAACCUUAUGCUAUGUAUGCAGCAUUGUUCAAAUAUUAUACUUUAUUUUAAAAACAUCAAGCACUGCUCGUAUGUCUAACAGUAAUAAUAAAGAGUU